CCUACGGGUGGCAGCAGUAGGGAAUUUUCGUCAAUGGGCGCAAGCCUGAACGAGCAAUGCCGCGUGAACGAGGAAGGUCUUCGGAUCGUAAAGUUCUGUUGAAGGGGACAAAGAGCGGGGAGAGGAAAUGCUUUCUGAUUGAUAUUACCCUUCGAGGAAGUCACGGCUAACUACGUGCCAGCAGCCGCGGUAAUACGUAGGUGGAGAGCGUUAUCCGGAUUUACUGGGGGUAAAGGGCGUGUAGGCGGGAGUGCAAGUCAGAUGUGAAAACUAUGGGCUCAACCCAUAGCCUGCAUUUGAAACUGGACGUCUUGAGUGCUGGAGAGGCAAUCGGAAUUCCUUGUGUAGCGGUGAAAUGCGUAGAGAUACGGAGGAACACCAGUGGCGAAGGCGGAUUGCUGGACAGUAACUGACGCUGAGGCGCGAAAGCGUGGGGAGCAAACAGGAUUAGAUACCCGUGUAGUC
Molecule: ribosomal RNA, 465 nt
Filed under: uncultured bacterium
Lineage: Bacteria
Description: partial 16S ribosomal RNA
Rfam family: Bacterial small subunit ribosomal RNA
Source: RNAcentral